RNAcentral lists this ribosomal RNA (431 nucleotides) under uncultured bacterium. RNAcentral's name for it is "bacterial SSU rRNA". It matches the Rfam family "Bacterial small subunit ribosomal RNA", at positions 471 to 902 of the family's 1533-position model. The record is from RNAcentral.
GACGGUACCUGAAGAAUAAGCACCGGCUAACUACGUGCCAGCAGCCGCGGUAAUACGUAGGGUGCGAGCGUUAAUCGGAAUUACUGGGCGUAAAGCGUGCGCAGGCGGUUAUACAAGACAGGCGUGAAAUCCCCGGGCUUAACCUGGGAAUGGCGUCUGUGACUGUAUAGCUAGAGUGUGUCAGAGGGGGGUGGAAUUCCACGUGUAGCAGUGAAAUGCGUAGAUAUGUGGAGGAACACCAAUGGCGAAGGCAGCCCCCUGGGAUAACACUGACGCUCAUGCACGAAAGCGUGGGGAGCAAACAGGAUUAGAUACCCUGGUAGUCCACGCCCUAAACGAUGCUGACUAGUUGUUGGGAAUUUACAUUCUCAGUAACGUAGCUAACGCGUGAAGUCAGCCGCCUGGGGAGUACGGUCGCAAGAUUAAAACUC